UUGGACAAUAAUCUUUGUGAUGCAGAAUAAGGAGUUGUGUAGUUAUAGAUUAUUUCGAGCAACAAAAAUAUCAUGUUUCUUUGUUGACAAGAUAAUCAGCUCUAGUAAAUCUACAGUGACAAUGAUGAUAAUGCUUCUACUAGAGUCCAAUAUGAAUUCCUGGUUCCUUGCUUUACAGAGACAUAUCCAAAAGAAUAUUGUUUAAAAACAGUGCAUCACCAAUACCUUGUACAAUCUUCUAGUUCCUUGUUGAAACAGAGGCAGACCAGCAAACUUUUGCAUUGUUUGUACUUAAACUUGUUUUCUUCAAGAAGAAUUUACUUCUGUAAAGAAAGUUCUUACCAAGGCCGCUGUCAAAUAUUUAAAAAUUUACACUGAUUUUUAAAUGUCUUGCCAUUUAGUUCUGACAACUGUGCAUUGCACUAUAACUAUAGUGGAAUGUCCUGCUAGGUUCCAGAUGAGCAUUCCAGCAGUACAUUUUUAUUUUUUACACUAUAAAUGAUUUACACUGAUUUUUAAAUGUCUUGCCAAUUAGUUCUGACAACUGUGCAUUGCACUAUAACUAUAGUGGAAUGUCCUGCUAGGUUCCAGAUGAGCAUUCCAGCAGUACAUUUUUAUUUUUUACACUAUAAAUGAUAUUUUUGGAAUGUCCCACUUAUCUGCUCUGCCAGCUAAGCAUAAAAGGACAUUUAUUGUACACUACAUAACAGAACACCCUCCCGGUUUGCUCUUUUACCUUAGCAUUCAAAAAUAUCCUUCUGAAAACUUUGUUUGUAAACUACUCACAUACCUUUAAAAAACACAAAUGAAACUUGUAAAAAAACACUUUUUAAUUUAAGUGUAAAUUUAAGUGGAUUGGUCUACCAUGCGCACAAUUUCCAUAAGUAUUGAUAACAAGACCACAAUUAGACAAUAAGAGAUGUGCAUUUUGGUUAUAUUUUGGAAAUAUUGAAAGAUUUUUAAAAUGAUUUAGUUUGGACAUAAUAUAUAAUUGUUCUAAAACACUUUAUUAUACACGUAUACUAUAUAUUAAUAUGUUGUAUCGGAUCAUGUAUCUAACACUUGCCAACAACACCCAUAUACAAUUAUUUGUGGUUUGCUUUAACAUAUGAUUCUAAAUACUUACUAUAAAAUAAUAAUUUAUGGUAUUUAGAUCUCACAUUAUAGACCAAUUCACUUAUAAGAAAGUAUGAUUAAAAUUUAUUUUAUUUUAAUAAAAUUAAAUUAUGUUCUGCUAUUUUAGAGUGAAAUAGUAAAACAUAUCACUACAUAAUGAUUAGCUUUUGAAAAAAAAAUCACUAUAUUGUUUGAGCCAUAGUAAUUUUGAUGAGUAUAAGUUUGUUGAUUUACUACUUUUUACGCUUACAAAAGGAAAAGGAAAUUUGAAAGUUGCAAUAUAACUACAGUAAAAAGAGCAAUAGAGUAUAUGUUGCACUUUGCUAUUGGUUACAACGUAUCUUUCAAAUAGAAUGGUCUGGAUUCGGACCAAUUUUACUAAAUAAGAUGUCUAAGUUGUGUCACAUGAUUAGGUUAUCUACCAAGUGUGAUCUGGCAUAGUAUAUCACCCUUCAAAAUUCAAAUAAUAAGAUAAAUCGAUAAAAAAUUACUGAAAACUAAUCUUGGCUACAUUACAUUAUCAGUUUUGUUUUUGUUUUUUUAAAGUAGCAAUUUAUUAUACUUGAAAUAAAAUUAGGAAAUCUACAAACUGUGAUCUGGCAUAGUGCAUCAAUAUUCAAAAUUUUACUUAUAAGAUAAAUUGAUAAAAGGUUACUAAAAAACUAAUUUUGGUUACAUUACAGUAUCAGUUUUUACUUUAAAAAGUAACAAUUCUGUAGAUUUUCAAUGGAAUUUGGAUUUUUUUCAUUCCCGGUGACAAGGUAAAAAUCUCAAGUUUCAUAAACUUUUUUUAAUUAUGCAUUGUUCAAUGGCAAACUAGAAAUUGAUUUUACGGAGAAAAAAAUGUUAUUUAAUAGUAUCAUGUAAAGAUGAUUUUAUAAUAUUUCACGAUGUUAUUACCAAAUAUUUGAUGUUAAAUUUGAUGCAAUUUCAAAAAUGGCGUCGUGCAAAUAUGCUAUGUCUUUCAACAGAUAAUGGCUUUCUGACCUUAUUACCUGAAAUAUUUAUUUUUCUUUCACAUGUUUAAAGAUUUUUAAAGAACAUCAUAUUGUCAGAAUUUUCAUUUUGCUCAUGUAUAUAGGUUUUUCUCCUUUUCUUGAACACUUACAUAAUUUGCAUAUAGAAAACUAUACGGAGUUAUACCAAGACAUGUUAUAUUGUGGCGAGAAGGAUUAACAUGGCGCGUUUCCAGACCAUUCUAUUUUAAGAUAAAAAUAUAUCAUUGGUUGGAUGACUCAACAAGUUAUAUAACCAAGAUAAAAUGGCUGUAAUUUAAUAUAUAACCGAUGCUUUCGGGUUUUAUAGCAAACAGUUUUUUUAUAAAUGACCGUAUUAACUUUCAGAAGUCUUAUUUACAAAAUUAAACAAAUGCCUCCUUGGUGUUAUAAUGAGAGGUGAAAAAAGUAUCUUUAACUUUCAGCAGAUAUGUGCGAAAGUGGUGUAUAAUAUAUUAAUAUUAAUAAUCAACGCUGCCAGUAUUGUGAGAGUUGUUAUCAUUUACAAUUGUCUGUAUAUCUGUAACAUUUCUCCAUAGUAUACUUAUGUCACUUGCAUGCAAGAAAAUAAAAAUUCUUUAUUAGUUCUGUUCAGAUGUGUCAAUUAUAAGUUGAUCUGUAUACACGUACAUGAUAUAUUAAUGCAUAGCUAAUCCAUGUUCUAGUAAGAUUUGAUGUUGUUUUAUUGUCUGCUCAAGUAUAUACAGAUGUUUAUAGCUAUCUAUUAGUUGUCAAUACUAUUUUUUUAUGUGUUUGAGGUACAUAAUUUAUAUUCAGUGAUCAGAAAAUGACAUGUAUAUUACUUACCUAUGUAUAUGUAAUAAAGAAAAUUACAUACAUUCAUGUACAUCCAGAAGAAUGGGAUAUUGUCAUGCUACUAUGACGUGAAAUAUGGCGAAUUAUGGUCAUCAUGGCCUCUUACUUUAAGAGAUGUUUUUUGUGUGUAUAUGUAUAUAGUUACCUAAGUAUGAUUUUGUAUAAUUUACAAAGACAAGUAUUUCUGUAUUUUGUGUAUGUAUUCAAUAUAGCGCCUGUUCUCUAAAACCACAAUCAUAUCAGUAGUAAUACUCUAUACAACAAAGUUGUAAAGAUUGUAAUAAAUUACUUAUACUUGGUUCAUUAUGGUCAUCAUGGCCGUCUUGUUACUUUUUUUUAUUUUUGUAUACAUAUAGUUUUCGUAGUGGAAUUUUGUAUAAUCUACAAAGAUAAGUAUUUUUUUUAUUUUGUGUACGUAUUCAAUAUAGCACCCGUUCUCUAUAAAACAAUCAUUAAUUAUAUUCUCAUACAACAAAGGUGUUUAAGAAGUUAUUAUUAAGAAUCACCUUAGUUUUCUUUCAUGCCUUUCAUAUUAAGUUUUGUCCCUCCGAGGUUAAUUUUUAAAGUGCUGAAGUUAAGAACUUAAAAAUUCAUAGAUAUAUAAAUCUCAUUAAGAAAACUGCAGUGAACUAUAAAAAUCAUACCCUCUUAUAACACAUUUUAGACGUAAAAACACUUUAAAGUUUGCAAUGCUUAAUUUUUGUUUCGAACCUUUGAGGUAAAUUGCUGUCUUGUGCACAUUUUUAGAGUUAUUGCCCAUUAGGCUUUGUAAAUGUCCAUAUUUCAUUUAUUGCCGGGACACAACUCGUACAUAAUUGAAUGUAUCUACAUGAAACGUUUUUGGUAGUUCUAAAUAUCUGAUUGAGGUAUAGGCGAUGUGUAAAUUUUGUAGUUAUUCACCUUUGUAACUGUUUAUACUAAAUUUUCGUGUAGAGCAUACAUUUAAAGGCACAUUAUGCAUAGGAAAUCUGUUUUUAUUCAACUCAUUAGAAAUGUCAAAAAUGUGUUAAAUAAUAUUUUACAAUGGAUUUAGAACAUGUUAGAUGUUUAACAGCUGGGGAAAGUAGCGCUGAAUGUGCAGUUUUAUGUCCUAAAGUUAACAAAAUGUAAACAAAAUAAGUAGUUUUCCUUUCAUACAAAAUUAUAAUUCACUACAAUAAAACCAAUCUCCAACAAAACAGCUUGAUCAAAGAUGGUUCAAUUUCAUGACGAAUGAGUUUUUUGUUUUGAAACUGUAACAAGAUACUAAAAAUAAAGUUAAAAAAAAAAGAUUUCUGAGGCAUAAUGGACCUUAAAGUCCAUAUCAAGUUGAACAUGAAAUAUCAUAUUAUCAUUCUGACAAAACGGCUUUCAAGGUCAUUGCAACUUAUUUGCAA
This is a long non-coding RNA of Ruditapes philippinarum (Manila clam), 4303 nucleotides long. RefSeq lists it as uncharacterized. The record is from RefSeq and is a predicted model, not a curated record. Lineage: Eukaryota; Metazoa; Mollusca; Bivalvia; Venerida; Veneridae. The transcript is spliced from 2 exons.